Molecule: ribosomal RNA, 245 nt
Filed under: uncultured bacterium
Lineage: Bacteria
Description: partial small subunit ribosomal RNA
Rfam family: Bacterial small subunit ribosomal RNA
Source: RNAcentral
AGAAUCAACGCUGGCGGCGUGCCUAACACAUGCAAGUCGCACGAGAAAGGGACUUCGGUCCUGAGUACAGUGGCGCACGGGUGAGUAACACGUGAAUAAUCUACCUCCGAGUGGGGAAUAACUGAGAGAAAUCUUAGCUAAUACCGCAUAACACUUACGAGUCAAAGCAGCAAUGCGCUUGGAGAGGAGUUCGCGGCAGAUUAGUUAGUUGGCGGGGUAAUUGCCCACCAAGACGAUGAUCUGUA